AUCUUUUUAGUAUAAUAGUAUAUUUGGCUUCCAACCAGAAGGUCUAGAACAUUCCUAGAAAAGAUA
Molecule: transfer RNA, 66 nt
Filed under: Pseudosquilla ciliata
Lineage: Eukaryota; Metazoa; Arthropoda; Malacostraca; Stomatopoda; Pseudosquillidae
Description: tRNA-Gly
Rfam family: tRNA
About the family: Transfer RNA (tRNA) molecules are approximately 80 nucleotides in length. Their secondary structure includes four short double-helical elements and three loops (D, anti-codon, and T loops).
Source: RNAcentral